RNAcentral lists this transfer RNA (68 nucleotides) under Cryptocephalus schaefferi. Its description in RNAcentral is "tRNA-Met". The record is from RNAcentral. Lineage: Eukaryota; Metazoa; Arthropoda; Insecta; Coleoptera; Chrysomelidae.
AAAAAGAUAAGCUAAUAAAAGCUACUGGGUUCAUACCCCAAUCAUGGGGGCUAUUCCCCCUCUUUUUG